RNAcentral lists this small RNA (150 nucleotides) under Crocodylus porosus (Australian saltwater crocodile). Its description in RNAcentral is "TUC338 (ENSCPRG00005009821.1)". The record is from RNAcentral. Lineage: Eukaryota; Metazoa; Chordata; Crocodylia; Crocodylidae.
UUGACAGCUGUGAUGUCUUCAGUAUCAAUAGGAUGGGGGCAGCAGCAGCACCGUAGCCCUCCCAUUGUGCCUCAGUCCUGCUUGGGAGGGGUCACCUAACUGAGCUGGAGGGAAGUUCAGUCUCCACAGUCCAUUCAGUCCUUAGCCUCU